Long non-coding RNA from Heterocephalus glaber (naked mole-rat), 885 nucleotides. RefSeq lists it as uncharacterized. The record is from RefSeq and is a predicted model, not a curated record. Lineage: Eukaryota; Metazoa; Chordata; Mammalia; Rodentia; Bathyergidae.
CUUGUGCUUGUGCAGCAGGCGCCAGAACCACUGAGCUAAAUCCCCAGCCCACCUCAUACACUUUUGGUGACGGUGUAAAAUGGUGCACCCACUUGGACAGUAGCCUGCAGUUCAUCAGAUGGCUGAUCCUAAAGCUCAACCGUCAUUGGAGAUGGAGCUCUGAGCAGGAAACAGCCAUGGAAGUGCAGGACGAGAAGGCAGCCAUCUGUUGCCCAAGAGGGAGCCCUCACUAGAAGCCAUCAUGCCGGUACCCUACUCACAGACUACACUUCCGGAACUGAGUGGAUGUGAAUUUCUGCUCCACAGCCACUGAAGCCAUGGCAUUGUAUUAUGGUCACCUGAGCAGAGAGAGACAGCAACAUUAUUCAUAAGAGUCCCAUCCUCAGGUGGCAGACCGCUUGCCUAGAUGCACCAGGCCCUGGGCACCACCCCAGCUCUGGAAAACAAAACAACUGAUGAGUCUAGACGAAUGUGAGACCAGGCAGGCUUUAAAGUGAGGGGAGUAGUGAUAUCAGUGGAGCCAUGUGGGGCAUUCCAUAAUGAUAAGGGGAAAGGUUAAUAAUUUAAAACUUGCAUUUACCUAAUAAUAUAGCUCCAAAACACAUACAGAAUACACAACUAAAAGAGAAAUGGACAAAAUACUCAUAGCUGGCCCCCCUUAUUCUCCUUCCUCUUCUUCUUUUGGCAGUAAUGAAGAUUAAACCAAGGGCCUCACACAUCCUAGGCAAGGACUUUACCACUGAGCUACACCCCCAGCGUUUUUUAUUUUAUUUUGAGACAGGCCAAAUUUCUUAGGCUGCCCUUAAACUUGCAAUCCUGCCUCAGCUGACUAUAAUUAUAACUGUAUGACAUCAGGCCUGGCUAGGCAUGAUAAUAUACUUUUUU